RNAcentral lists this long non-coding RNA (808 nucleotides) under Danio rerio (zebrafish). RNAcentral's name for it is "lncRNA (ENSDARG00000117611.1)". Lineage: Eukaryota; Metazoa; Chordata; Actinopteri; Cypriniformes; Danionidae. The record is from RNAcentral.
AUGAGGACUAAGAGGUGUCAACAUGAGUCACUUCCUGACCUAGCUGACCCCGCUUGCAAUGAAAACUGCUCUGCAAUCCGCAAACUCAACUCUUCCCACUGCAUGAUGGGAAGGUCGUGGUCACCCAGAGGAGACUCUUCUUCACUUUGCUGUCUAGUCCCCUGGUCAGAGGGUGAGGGGUCAUCGGUGGUCCUCAAAUAACACCUGUCACUGUCUGGAUUCUCCUCCAUCCGGUGGAGAGUGAUGCUGGUCCAGCAAAGACAGGCUAAAGCAGAUGAGAGGGGGGGGGGGGAUUUUUUGAUGAAGUUUAAAAGAACAGCAUAUAUUUGAAACAGAAACAUUUUGUCACAUUAGAUAUUAUAAGGAUGUUUCUGAGAUUUUUGUCAAAAUUGACUUAUUGACAUUAAAUGACAACUUAUUUACAUUAUUAGAUGUUUUUUUAUAAGUUGUUUACAUUUUAAGACUUAAAAAAAAGGCUUUAUCUACAAAUUCGAACUCUAACUUGGCUCUACAAGGUUCUUUCUGUGAGCCAAUCAGCAUUUUGAAUGCACGCACGAGAACAAUCAGAAUCAGCUUUCUUUGUCAUUUCACAUUGCUACAUUGACAGCGGGCAAAGACCAGAAAGAAACACAAAAUACAAAACUAAGUAAUGGUGCACCACACAAAAUUGAGAAGAAACCUGAAACUAAAAAGCUGUGUGUCAGUGUGAUGAUUUAGAAGCGUUUUUGACAUUGAGAUGAAAUGUUUAAUUUUACAUUGUUAAAGAAGCAACAGGAACAAAAAAAAAAAAAAUAUAUAUAUAUAUAUA